AGUGAACGCUGGCGGUAGGCCUAACACAUGCCAGUCGAACGGCAGCACAGUAAGAGCUUGCUCUUACGUGUGGCGAGUGGCGGACGGGUGAGUAAUACAUCGGAAUCUACUUUUUCGUGGGGGAUAACGUAGGGAAACUUACGCUAAUACCGCAUACGACCUACGGGUGAAAGCAGGGGAUCUUCGGACCUUUCGCGAUUGAAUGAGCCGAUGUCGGAUUAGCUAGUUGGCGGGGUAAAGGCCCACCAAGGCGACGAUCCGUAGCUGGUCUGAGAGGAUGAUCAGCCAGACUGGCACUGAGAAACGGUACCGACUCCUACGGGAGGAAGCAGUGGGGAAUCUUGGACAAUGGGGGAAAGCCUGAUACAGCAAUACCGCGUGGGUGAAGAAGGACUUCGGGUUGUAAAGUCCUUUUGUUGGGAAAGAAAAGCAGCAGGUUAAUCCCCCGCUGUUCUGACGGUACCCAAAGAAUAAGCACCGGCUAACUUCGUG
RNAcentral lists this ribosomal RNA (492 nucleotides) under uncultured bacterium. Its description in RNAcentral is "partial 16S ribosomal RNA". It matches the Rfam family "Bacterial small subunit ribosomal RNA", at positions 29 to 507 of the family's 1533-position model. The record is from RNAcentral.